This is a non-coding RNA of Lactuca sativa (garden lettuce), 709 nucleotides long. The record is from RefSeq and is a predicted model, not a curated record. NCBI's taxonomy places the organism in Eukaryota, Viridiplantae, Streptophyta, Magnoliopsida, Asterales, Asteraceae.
ACUUCAUUCUCUCCCUUCUUUCUCUCUGCAAACCCCUUCUUCUCCGAUCGACUUUCACUUCCUUCUAUGUGCAAACCCUAAUCAAACAUAACACAUUUGAAAUAGUAAUAUCUUCUUUCAUUUUCUCCCCUACUACUCUCUGUAAAACCUAGCAGCCGCCACCACUAGAAACAUGGAAAAUCCCCCAAAAUUUUGAAUUACCCCGCUCACUCCUCUCAAUAUCUCUUGCGCUUUCGUAUUUAUAGCCAGAGUUGGAGAGCGAAAAGAAGAAAGAAGAAAGAAAUGAUGUGAGGGUGUGAGGUGGCGUUCAAAGGUUGUCAAGGGGUUGUGAGGAGCUAUAGGGCUCAAGUUCGAGGUUGAAGAUUAGAAACCGAAGGUUGAAGAUCAGAUUUGGGAUUAGAUGAGUCGCUGGUACAACUGACGUCGUCGUGGUGUAGGUCAGAUGAGUCGCCGGAGUCCAGGCCAAGUAACAGUGUCGCUGGAGUUUCGGGAAGCUAACGGUGUCAUCAAUUCGAGUGCAGGUGAUGUGCCGAUUAUUGAUUUUGGAUCAAUUACUAACUGUUUGCCAUUUUCUUUCUAGAAAAUCAAUGUAGUGUCUGCUUCUUAAUCUUGUUCUCUAUGAGUACCAUUGUUACCGUCUCUGGUAAAAACAUCUAACCAUAUGCCAGAUUCGUUGAUUCAGGCUACAAAAGUACCUGUUAAAGAGUAU